This is an RNA transcript of Mastomys coucha (southern multimammate mouse), 714 nucleotides long. It is a transcript of the gene named FGFR1 oncogene partner 2 homolog pseudogene, with no coding region annotated. Lineage: Eukaryota; Metazoa; Chordata; Mammalia; Rodentia; Muridae. The transcript is spliced from 2 exons. The record is from RefSeq and is a predicted model, not a curated record.
AUGGGCACUGUCUCAGAUUAUAGCUCAAAUCACAAUGACAGUGGGACUCAACAAGCACAGUAUUCAGACACAAAAAGACAUCGGCCACGAUCUACACUAGUUAUGGGAAUCCAGCAAGAAAACAGACAAAUCAGAGAAUUACAACAAGAGAACAAAGAACUGCGAACAUCCUUGGAAGAACACCAGCCUGCCUUGGAACUGAUAAUAAGCAAGUAUCGAGAGCAAAUGUUCAGAUUGCUAAUGGCCAGCAAAAAAGAUGACCCAGGUAUAAUAAUGAAGUUAAAAGAGCAACACUCAAAGAUUGACGUGGUACAUCGUAACAGCUGCGAAGGAUUCUUCCUGGAUGCAUCUCGGUACAUCCUUGAAGCACCUCAGCAUGGACUGCAAAGGAGGCACUGGGAAGCAAGUCAGAAUGAGUUGCAAGCACAUGUUGACCAGAUCACCAAGAUGGCAGCAGUAAUGAGAAAAGCUAUUGAAAUUGAUGAACAUCAGGGUUGCAAGGAACAGGAGCGAAUAUUUCAACUUGAACAAGAAAACAAAGGCUUGAGAGAGAUCCUUCAGAUAACUCGAGAAUCCUUUUUGAACCUUCGGAAGGAUGAUGCAUCAGAGAGUACAUCUCUGUCCGCCUUAGUGACUAACAGUGACCUGAGUCUGAGGAAGAGCUGAGUGGCUUUCUGCAUGGUCACUGAACGGGCCCAGAAGUGAAUGGAUGAG